Molecule: ribosomal RNA, 468 nt
Filed under: uncultured bacterium
Lineage: Bacteria
Description: partial 16S ribosomal RNA
Rfam family: Bacterial small subunit ribosomal RNA
Source: RNAcentral
GACGAACGCUGGCGGCGUGCUUAACACAUGCAAGUCGAACGGUGAAGCUCCACCUUUCUGGGGUGGAUCAGUGGCGAACGGGUGAGUAACACGUGAGCAACCUGCCCCUUACUUUGGGAUAAGCGCUGGAAACGGCUUCUAAUACUGGAUACGCGCUGGGUCCCCCUUGGCAGUUUGUGGAAAGUGUUUCGGUUGGGGAUGGGCUGCCCGCCGCUCAGCUUGUUGGUGGGGGAGUGACUCACGAAGGCGACGACGGGUAGCCGGCCUGCGAAGGUGACGGGCCACACUGGGACUGAGAUCCGGCCGAGAGUACUAGGGGAGGCAGCAGUGGAGAGUGUUGAACAAUGGGCGAGAGACUGAUGGAGCGAGGUCGCGUGAGGGAUGACGGGCUUCGGGUUGUAACCCGCUUUCGGCAGGAAAGAAGUGAAAGUGACGGUAGCUGGAGAAGAAGCGCCGGCUAACUACGUG